UGGUAGUGGGGGAUAACGUCCGGAAACGGGCGCUAAUACCGCAUACGUCCUGAGGGAGAAAGUGGGGGAUCUUCGGACCUCACGCUAUCAGAUGAGCCUAGGUCGAAUUAGCUAGUUGGUGGGGUAAAGGCCUACCAAGGCGACGAUCCGUAACUGGUCUGAGAGGAUGAUCAGUCACACUGGAACUGAGACACGGUCCAGACUCCUACGGGAGGCAGCAGUGGGGAAUAUUGGACAAUGGGCGAAAGCCUGAUCCAGCCAUGCCGCGUGUGUGAAGAAGGUCUUCGGAUUGUAAAGCACUUUAAGUUGGGAGGAAGGGCAGUAAGUUAAUACCUUGCUGUUUUGACGUUACCAACAGAAUAAGCACCGGCUAACUUCGUGCCAGCAGCCGCGGUAAUACGAAGGGUGCAAGCGUUAAUCGGAAUUACUGGGCGUAAAGCGCGCGUAGGUGGUUCAGCAAGUUGGAUGUGAAAUCCCCGGGCUCAACCUGGGAACUGCAUCCAAAACUACUGAGCUAGAGUACGGUAGAGGGUGGUGGAAUUUCCUGUGUAGCGGUGAAAUGCGUAGAUAUAGGAAGGAACACCAGUGGCGAAGGCGACCACCUGGACUGAUACUGACACUGAGGUGCGAAAGCGUGGGGAGCAAACAGGAUU
RNAcentral lists this ribosomal RNA (653 nucleotides) under uncultured Pseudomonadales bacterium. RNAcentral describes it as "bacterial SSU rRNA". It matches the Rfam family "Bacterial small subunit ribosomal RNA", at positions 131 to 779 of the family's 1533-position model. The record is from RNAcentral. Lineage: Bacteria; Pseudomonadati; Pseudomonadota; Gammaproteobacteria; Pseudomonadales.